RNAcentral lists this transfer RNA (75 nucleotides) under Sphaerodactylus townsendi. RNAcentral's name for it is "tRNA-Ala". The record is from RNAcentral. Lineage: Eukaryota; Metazoa; Chordata; Lepidosauria; Squamata; Sphaerodactylidae.
GGAGUGGCUGUGGCUCAGAGGUAGAUUAUUGGCUUGGCAUGCAGGAAGUCUGGGGUUCAAUUCCCAGCAUCUCCA